CCUAACAAUUAUUGAUACCGGAGGGAACACCCGAAGGAAUGAAGUAGUUGAAGUUGAAUGUAACAGGAGGGUAGUCACCGUAGUAUAAGGUGGCAGACUCUGGCAUCCAACCAUUUGUUCCAAACCUAACAAAGAUCAUAUUGCAGAUUUUGCCUAUACAAUCUCCAUGUACCUCAAAUGGAAUCAUUGUGCACUACUUGAAAGAUGAAAUCCCUGUAUUAGGAGCCGGACUUGAAAGAAUCUGUCAUUAUGUACACAAGCAUGGAUAUCAAACCAAUAUUCCAUAUAUAACUCCUUGUGUUGCAUAUUUAUACAUUUCUGUAUAUAAGCUAUUUUUAUAUUGCUCAAAAAAGAAAGCUAUUUUGUGCAAUAAAAAAAAUUAGCAUCAAAUAUGAAUGCACAAAUAUGAGAGAGAGAGAGCAAAACGAGAGUAUGAGUGAGAAAAUUAUUUAAAAAUGAUUGCACAAAUAUGAUUUCGCCCGCAUCCAUUGAUAUAGCCGAAAAUCAAAAUUAAGUGGACAAUGAAUCAAUUAAAAAAGGGGUCAUGACAAUAUUAUUUGACCGUUAAAAAACAAUUGUGCAAUGAUGACCAGUACACAAUAGAUAACAAAAACAAAAUUAGAAUGAUUUUUUUUUUUUGAUAGAGUUCAUAUUAGACAAUUC
RNAcentral lists this long non-coding RNA (663 nucleotides) under Medicago truncatula (barrel medic). RNAcentral's name for it is "lncRNA gene12826". Lineage: Eukaryota; Viridiplantae; Streptophyta; Magnoliopsida; Fabales; Fabaceae. The record is from RNAcentral.